AAAUAUGAAGUGAUAUAUUACACUCAGUUUCGACCUGAUUUUAGAUGAAUUUCAUCCUUAUUUU
Molecule: transfer RNA, 64 nt
Filed under: Simulium quinquestriatum
Lineage: Eukaryota; Metazoa; Arthropoda; Insecta; Diptera; Simuliidae
Description: tRNA-Arg
Source: RNAcentral